GUAUUUGUUCCUUUUUUCCCUCUCCUCUCUUUUUCUCUCUAGGUCUUCUGGCUGGUUUGCACUCCAGCCCCCACCAUGCAGCGCCACUCCCACACUCUGCCCUGUCCACUCAUUUACCACAGAGUUUGCCAGAUGCUUCUCAGCUUCACGGCAAAGGGUCCAAUGCACAGCAGCGCAAGUUGUGACCCCUGUGAGGAGGGGAGAGACAGCACCUAUAGGAUAAAACCCAGAGGAGCAGCUCAUGGACUUUGGAUACCAGCUAUGUCUUUUGAUUGCUUUCGAUUUUUUUGUCUUCUGUUUCUUUUUUUUUACAACAACUGGAGAGACUGAACUGCACCGAGGAGCUCAUUGGGGUGUCUGCUCAGAAGUUUUCAGAGCUGAGCCCCAGCCACCGGGCCACCUUGAGCCAUGCCCUGAUGAGAGAGAGAAGCCUUCUGUAGCACUGUUUUAUUGCUGCUGCCCUUCCUGCAUUCCCUGACACUGGCAGUCGCUGGAACUUGCAGGGACACUGGGGUGCUCCUGUACUUUAUUUCCACCCGUGUCCGUAGCUGCCAAGUACCUCCAAGUCCAGUUACCUCCCUGGUCUCCCCGUGGAGGGUGUGAAAGGUGCUUCUUUCUUCUGCUUUGGAUUUACCUGGAUCAUUCUAGCACUGCCAGUGCUUUCUUGAAGACAUUUGAGUAACUUUCCAAUUGUACUAUGAAAGUGUGCUACACUCAAUUGGAGGGUUGAACAUUUGCUGUGUGGUGAGUGUGAGGAAACACCUGAUGUUCCCCUCUGGAGGAGAAGGAAGACUUUUUAGAGUCUUUAGAAGAGAGACAUUUUUAGAUGCAGUCAUUGACUUUUAGAAUUCUACUUCUUUUGGGUUUUUGGAUUUUUUUUCCCUCCAAAGGGAUGCUUUUUUCCUGCUCAGUUUUAUCCUCAUUGCCAUCGAAUGCAUUGGAUUGAAUGGGACACUUCUUGGCAUGUCACAUGAAUCGGGAGACAUAAUUCCAGUGCCUUUUAUGGUGGAGCAAGAAUGGACUAGUGACACACAUUUCAGCCCUAUUUUGUGUGCUCCUCAACCCUUUUUUAAUCAUUCUGUAUUUAAAAUGUGUUCUGGUUUAUUUAAUAGAGCUUUCUAUGGUUGCACAUAAAAAAAACAAAAACAAAAACAAAAACAAAAGAGAAAGAAAAGCUGCACUGUCUGGACUUUAGUGGUGACCUGGUGACUGACUACAGUCCCAAAUCCAGCAGGAGCACCAGUUCUCAUCCCAGUAUGUGCAGGUGGGUUCCACGCCCUCCCUUAAAGCCAUUCUUUCCUAGGGUUGUGAGUGAGGAUCAAUUUGGUGGGCAGAGAGAAUGAGUGAGAUGAACCAAGGUCACUCCUGUCAAAGGAAUUCCAGAGAAAACCACUGCUCUCCUCAAACAUCCUGCACCAGGGUCGUGUGCUCGGCACAGCUGCAGGAACAGGGACCAUCUACACUUGGGGGUUUGUUGUUAAUUUUUUAACUUCUGCACUUAAAUGCUCCCCCUGAGCACCCCCUUUCAGGCUCAGGGCAGGCUGAGGCUCCACCUGAGCUUUUUGAGGUUUUGGUUUCCUGCUCUUCCCCAGUCUGUCUUCUCUCAGGCCCCCACAGCCACAUCCCAGUUGUGCAGGGGUAGUGCUGGUCCACGUAGAAUUUACUGAUAUUCUGAGGAAAAGCUUUUGGCUUCCUCCUCGAGCUUUGGGGAAGGCUGCUGACCCCAGAAUACUAACAAAUGCCUGCUUUAGUUUCCCCUGUUUUUUGUUGAGAUCGAGAAAGUCUGUUUUCAGUUGGAGUUGGUAUAUAACUGCCCAAGAUCAAUGAGUUGAUUGUAUUUCAGAAUAAUGGAGACAGCUCAGAUUUCAAGUCUGUUUACAGAAAAUACCGAGGUUGUAGCAAAAGAGCCAAAGACAGAGCUGGUGUGGGUAAAACAAAGAGCAGCAGUUCC
Malurus cyaneus samueli is the source of this 1951-nucleotide long non-coding RNA. The record is from Ensembl. Lineage: Eukaryota; Metazoa; Chordata; Aves; Passeriformes; Maluridae.